This 372-nucleotide ribosomal RNA is filed under the name Panthera onca (jaguar). Its description in RNAcentral is "partial large subunit ribosomal RNA". It matches the Rfam family "Bacterial large subunit ribosomal RNA", at positions 1990 to 2536 of the family's 2925-position model. Lineage: Eukaryota; Metazoa; Chordata; Mammalia; Carnivora; Felidae. The record is from RNAcentral.
GUAUGAAUGGCCACACGAGGGCUUUACUGUCUCUUACUUCCAAUCCGUGAAAUUGACCUUCCCGUGAAGAGGCGGGAAUAUAACAAUAAGACGAGAAGACCCUAUGGAGCUUUAAUUAACCGACCCAAAGAGAUCUUACUAAUCAACCGACAGGAACAACAAACCUCUACCAUGGGCCGACAAUUUAGGUUGGGGUGACCUCGGAGAAUAAAGCAACCUCCGAGUGAUUUAAAUCUAGACUAACCAGUCGAAAGUAUUACAUCACUUAUUGAUCCAAAAACUUGAUCAACGGAACAAGUUACCCUAGGGAUAACAGCGCAAUCCUAUUUUAGAGUCCAUAUCGACAAUAGGGUUUACGACCUCGAUGUUGGA